UAGGGAAUCUUCCGCAAUGGACGAAAGUCUGACGGAGCAACGCCGCGUGAACGAUGAAGGCCUUCGGGUCGUAAAGUUCUGUUGUUAGGGAAGAACAAGUACCGUUCGAAUAGGGCGGUACCUUGACGGUACCUAACCAGAAAGCCACGGCUAACUACGUGCCAGCAGCCGCGGUAAUACGUAGGUGGCAAGCGUUGUCCGGAAUUAUUGGGCGUAAAGCGCGCGCAGGCGGUUUUUUAAGUCUGAUGUGAAAGCCCACGGCUCAACCGUGGAGGGUCAUUGGAAACUGGAGAACUUGAGUGCAGAAGAGGAGAGUGGAAUUCCACGUGUAGCGGUGAAAUGCGUAGAGAUGUGGAGGAACACCAGUGGCGAAGGCGACUCUCUGGUCUGUAACUGACGCUGAGGCGCGAAAGCGUGGGGAGCAAACAGG
This 430-nucleotide ribosomal RNA is filed under the name uncultured bacterium. RNAcentral describes it as "bacterial SSU rRNA". It matches the Rfam family "Bacterial small subunit ribosomal RNA", at positions 355 to 776 of the family's 1533-position model. The record is from RNAcentral.